Molecule: ribosomal RNA, 237 nt
Filed under: uncultured bacterium
Lineage: Bacteria
Description: partial 16S ribosomal RNA
Rfam family: Bacterial small subunit ribosomal RNA
Source: RNAcentral
UGAGCAAUCUGCCCUUCUCUUCGGAAUAAGCGUGGGAAACCGCGUCUAAUGCCGAAUACGACCUCCUUUCGCAUGAUCGGAGGUGGAAAGCUCCGGCGGAGAAGGAUGAGCUCGCGGCCUAUCAGCUGGUUGGUGUGGGUAAUGGCCCACCAAGGCGACGACGGGUAGCCGGCCUGAGAGGGUGACCGGCCACACUGGGACUGAGACACGGCCCAGACCUCCGUACGGGAGGNAGCG